This 493-nucleotide ribosomal RNA is filed under the name uncultured bacterium. RNAcentral's name for it is "partial 16S ribosomal RNA". It matches the Rfam family "Bacterial small subunit ribosomal RNA", at positions 30 to 523 of the family's 1533-position model. The record is from RNAcentral.
AUUGAACGCUGGCGGCAUGCCUUACACAUGCAAGUCGAACGGUAACAGGUUAAGCUGACGAGUGGCGAACGGGUGAGUAAUAUAUCGGAACGUGCCCAAUCGUGGGGGAUAACGCAGCGAAAGUUGUGCUAAUACCGCAUAAGAUCUACGGAUGAAAGCGGGGGAUCGCAAGACCUCGCGCGAGUGGAGCGGCCGAUAUCAGAUUAGCUAGUUGGUGGGGUAAAGGCCCACCAAGGCGACGAUCUGUAGCUGGUCUGAGAGGACGACCAGCCACACUGGGACUGAGACACGGCCCAGACUCCUACGGGAGGGAGCAGUGGGGAAUUUUGGACAAUGGGCGCAAGCCUGAUUCAGCAAUGCCGCGUGCAGGAUGAAGGCCUUCGGGUUGUAAACUGCUUUUGUACGGAGCGAAAAAGCUCUCUCUAAUACAGAGGGCUCAUGACGGUACCGUAAGAAUAAGCACCGGCUAACUACGUGCCAGCCGCCGCAGUAA